Molecule: small RNA, 620 nt
Filed under: Arabidopsis thaliana (thale cress)
Lineage: Eukaryota; Viridiplantae; Streptophyta; Magnoliopsida; Brassicales; Brassicaceae
Source: RNAcentral
AGUAACAGCUACGAUCAUACCAGCACUAAUUGCAUUGCAUGUAGUAUGAGGAUGGGUGACCUCCCGGAAAGUCCUACUGUUGCAGCCCUCUUUUUUCGGUUUUUCUCUAUUUUGUUUUGUUAAAAAUGUAUAACUCUAUAACUUUAAGACCGUGAGGCCAACCUUGACAUGUGAUACCUUUUCGGAAAGCCUAAAGAGAGCUCUCCGAUGAAAGAGGAAGGAAAAUGGAAUUCUUCUAUUGUUUUUUUUUCUUCUCCAAAUUUUGACCUUAAUGUACUUUUUCGAGCCUUUUCGUGAUCUUUGCUAUAUUACGGGGCAAAAUUAUAUGUUCGGACAAUGUUUUCGAAUAUUUUGUAUCUAUCAAAGCUCUUAUAAACAAGAUAGGGUAUUCCUACAUAGCUGGUGGGACCCAUGGCAAAUGAAUCAUAAAGUCUUCAAAAAGGAAUAGAUACGAUUGCAUUGCAUGUAGUAACAGAUGGGAUCAUACCAGCACUAAUGCACCGGAUCCCAUCAGAACUCCGCAGUUAAGCGUGCUUGGGCGAGAGUAGUACUAGGAUGGGUGACCUCGAGGAAUGUCCUCGUGUUGCAUCCCUCUUUUUUUUUCGGUUUUUCUCUUUUUU